This is a non-coding RNA of Theobroma cacao (cacao), 291 nucleotides long. Lineage: Eukaryota; Viridiplantae; Streptophyta; Magnoliopsida; Malvales; Malvaceae. The record is from RefSeq and is a predicted model, not a curated record.
GGGAAAAGUGUGAAAAUUCAAGGAAACAAGUGAAAAAAAGGUGGUGAAUCCUCUGAAAAAGGGCAAAGAAAUUGCACCCGAUGAUCAAUAGUCGGAGUACUCCAAAAUUCAAACUCCUGAUACAGCUCAAGAUAGUCGGUAGAUAGCUCACUUUGUUGAGGGCUACAUUUGGACUUGCAUCCUCAAAAAUUGUAAGUUUACCGUUUUUGAUACUUUUCGUCGUUCGUGGACCCACGUGUCACUGUAAAUUAAAUUUUAUACUUUGGUUAUUUGUAUUACAGUAUGUAUGAA